GCAGCAAGUACACUAAAACCCUAGGCACUAUAGCCACCAGGUCGAAACCUAACCAAUAUGGCGGUAGUUUAAAAAUUCAGGGGAACUUACUAAGUAAAUGAUAACCACCAAGAAAAUUGACUUUAUUUAACAUUUUACAUACCGUCGUCGACAGAUUUACUAUAAUAGUACAUCAACCAAUAAAAAAUAAAAGGACAGAUCAAGGUGUAGACAAUGAUAAUGUUUUAGCGAGUUACUAUAAUAAAUCAAUUCACCCCUCAAUUAUAAUAUUGAUACCUGUAGGACUUGAAAGUAAUAUAUAUUAAGUAUAGUAUAUGAAUAUCCCUUAAACUGUGCACAA
This 340-nucleotide ribosomal RNA is filed under the name Caucasotachea vindobonensis. RNAcentral describes it as "partial 12S ribosomal RNA". Lineage: Eukaryota; Metazoa; Mollusca; Gastropoda; Stylommatophora; Helicidae. The record is from RNAcentral.